RNAcentral lists this ribosomal RNA (661 nucleotides) under uncultured fungus. RNAcentral describes it as "eukaryotic LSU rRNA". It matches the Rfam family "Eukaryotic large subunit ribosomal RNA", at positions 24 to 664 of the family's 3401-position model. The record is from RNAcentral. Lineage: Eukaryota; Fungi.
CCCGCUGAACUUAAGCAUAUCAAUAAGCGGAGGAAAAGAAACUAACAAGGAUUCCCCUAGUAACGGCGAGUGAAGAGGGAAAAGCUCAAAUUUGAAAUCUGGCAGUCUACGGCUGUCCGAGUUGUAAUCUAGAGAAGUGUUUUCCGUGCUGGACCGUGUACAAGUCCUUUGGAACAAGGCGUCAUAGAGGGUGAGAAUCCCGUCUACGACACGGACUGCCAGUGCUCUGUGAUACACUCUCAACGAGUCGAGUUGUUUGGGAAUGCAGCUCAAAAUGGGUGGUAAAUUCCAUCUAAAGCUAAAUACAGGCGAAAGACCGAUAGCGAACAAGUACCGUGAGGGAAAGAUGAAAAGCACUUUGGAAAGAGAGUUAAACAGUACGUGAAAUUGUUGAAAGGGAAACGCUUGAAGUCAGUCGCGUCUUCAGAAAUUCAGCCUGGCCUUCUGCCUGGUGUACUUUUCUGUUGGACGGGCCAGCAUCAGUUUCGGCCGCCAGAAAAAGGUGGGAGGAAGGUGGCACCUCCGGGUGUGUUAUAGCCUCCCAUCGUAUGUGGUGGCUGGGACUGAGGACCGCAGCACGCCUCUAAUGGCCGGGGUUCGCCCACGUAACGUGCUUAGGAUGCUGGCGUAAUGGCUUUAAACGACCCGUCUUGAAACACGG